CCUACGGGUGGCAGCAGUGAGGAAUAUUGGACAAUGGGAGAGAUCCUGAACCAGCCAAGCCGCGUGAGGGAAGACGGCCCUAUGGGUUGUAAACCUCUUUUGUCGGAGAACAAAACCCGGGACGUGUCCCGGACUGCGUGUAUCCGAAGAAAAAGCAUCGGCGAACUCCGUGCCAGCAGCCGCGGUAAUAGGGAGGAUGCGAGCGUUAUCCGGAUUUAUUGGGGUUAAGGGGUGCGUAGGCGGUCCGUUAAGUCCGCGGGAAAAGUGGGGGGCUAAACCCCGUCGAGCCGUUGAAACUGGGUGGCUGGAGUUGGCGAGAAGUAGGCGGAAUGCACGGUGUAGCGGUGAAAUGCGUAGAUAUCACGCAGAACACCGAUUGCGAAGGCGGCGUGCCGGCGCCAGACUGACGCUGAGGCACGAAAGCGUGGGGAGCGAACAGGAUUAGAUACCCGAGUAGUC
Molecule: ribosomal RNA, 459 nt
Filed under: uncultured bacterium
Lineage: Bacteria
Description: partial 16S ribosomal RNA
Rfam family: Bacterial small subunit ribosomal RNA
Source: RNAcentral